ACGGGUGAGUUCGCGUGGGAGCGUGCCCUCUGGUUCGGAACCUCCUGGAGGCGGGAGCUAUACCGGAUACGCCCUUUUGGGGAAAGGCUUGCUGCCGGAGGAUCGGCCCGCGUCUGAUUAGCUUGUUGGUGGGGUAACGGCCUACCAAGGCGACGAUCAGUAGCUGGUCUGAGAGGAUGAUCAGCCACACUGGGACUGAGACACGGCCCAGACUCCUACGGGAGGCAGCAGUGGGGAAUAUUGGACAAUGGGCGCGGGCGUGAUCCUUCCAUGCCGCGUGAGUGAUGAAGGCCUUAGGGUUGUAAAGCUCUUUUAUCCGGGACGAUAAUGACGGUACCGGAGGAAUAAGCCCCGGCUAACUUCGUGCCAGCAGCCGCGGGUAU
Molecule: ribosomal RNA, 383 nt
Filed under: uncultured bacterium
Lineage: Bacteria
Description: bacterial SSU rRNA
Rfam family: Bacterial small subunit ribosomal RNA
Source: RNAcentral